AACGCUAGCUACAGGCUUAACACAUGCAAGUCGCGGGGCAGCAUGAAUUUAGCUUGCUAAAUUUGAUGGCGACCGGCGCACGGGUGAGUAACGCGUAUCCAACCUUCCCCUGUCCACGGGACAGCCCGUCGAAAGGCGGAUUAAUACCGUAUGAGGUCACACGAUGGCAUCAGACUGUGACGAAAGGUUUGGCGGACAGGGAUGGGGAUGCGUCCGAUUAGCUUGUUGGCGGGGUAACGGCCCACCAAGGCAACGAUCGGUAGGGGUUCUGAGAGGAAGGUCCCCCACAUUGGAACUGAGACACGGUCCAAACUCCUACGGGAGGCAGCAGUGAGGAAUAUUGGUCAAUGGGCGAGAGCCUGAACCAGCCAAGUAGCGUGCAGGACGACGGCCCUAUGGGUUGUAAACUGCUUUUAUGCGGGGAUAACGUGCACCACGUGUGGUGUAUUGCAGGUACCGCAUGAAUAAGGACCGGCUAAUUCCGUGCCAGCAGCCGCGGUAAUACGGAAGGUCCGGGCGUUAUCCGGAUUUAUUGGGUUUAAAGGAGCGUAGGCCGCUGUUUAAGCGUGUUGUGAAAUGUAGACGCUCAACGUCUGCACUGCAGCGCGAACUGGUUUCCUUGAGUACGCACAAAGUGGGCGGAAUUCGUGGUGUAGCGGUGAAAUGCUUAGAUAUCACGAAGAACUCCGAUUG
This 693-nucleotide ribosomal RNA is filed under the name uncultured bacterium. Its description in RNAcentral is "bacterial SSU rRNA". It matches the Rfam family "Bacterial small subunit ribosomal RNA", at positions 32 to 715 of the family's 1533-position model. The record is from RNAcentral.